RNAcentral lists this small RNA (1452 nucleotides) under Pan troglodytes (chimpanzee). Its description in RNAcentral is "processed transcript". The record is from RNAcentral. Lineage: Eukaryota; Metazoa; Chordata; Mammalia; Primates; Hominidae.
AAGAGAGUGAGAAGGAAGGGAAGCCGGAAGGGGCGCGAGUGAAGCAAAGCGAGGACAGACAGCUCCCAGAGGGCGAGGGGUGCAUGUGCGUCCGCUUCUCACCUCAGGUCUCCCUUCGGCCCCGCUGCCCUCCCUCGCGGCUGGGUGACAGCUGGGUCCGGUCCGUCGCGGGCUGCCUGGGGUGCGAGGAUCGCGCACCCCGUCUUCGCGCGCGGUGCCUGCCGCCCCGCCCCCUCGUCCCGCCCGUCCCGUCGCGUCCCGUCCCCUCGGGUGCUGCCAGCCGGGUGCUGAUGCGGGUCGGUGGCAGCGAGGACAUUUUCUGACUCCCUGGCCCCUGACACGGCUGCACUUUCCAUCCCGUCGCGGGGCCGGCCGCUACUCCGGCCCCAGGAUGCAGAAUGUGAUUAAUACUGUGAAGGGAAAGGCACUGGAAGUGGCUGAGUACCUGACCCCGGUCCUCAAGGAAUCAAAGUUUAAGGAAACGGGUGUAAUUACCCCAGAAGAGUUUGUGGCAGCUGGAGAUCACCUAGUCCACCACUGUCCAACAUGGCAAUGGGCUACGGGGGAAGAAUUGAAAGUGAAGGCAUACCUACCAACAGGCAAACAAUUUUUGGUAACCAAAAAUGUGCCGUGCUAUAAGCGGUGCAAACAGAUGGAAUAUUCAGAUGAAUUGGAAGCUAUCAUUGAAGAAGAUGAUGGUGAUGGCGGAUGGGUAGAUACAUAUCACAACACAGGUAUUACAGGAAUAACGGAAGCAGUUAAAGAGAUCACACUGGAAAAUAAGGACAAUAUAAGACUUCAAGAUUGCUCAGCACUAUGUGAAGAGGAAGAAGAUGAAGAUGAAGGAGAAGCUGCAGAUAUGGAAGAAUAUGAAGAGAGUGGAUUGUUGGAAACAGAUGAGGCUACCCUAGAUACAAGGAAAAUAGUAGAAGCCUGUAAAGCCAAAACUGAUGCUGGCGGUGAAGAUGCUAUUUUGCAAACCAGAACUUAUGACCUUUACAUCACUUAUGAUAAAUAUUACCAGACUCCACGAUUAUGGUUGUUUGGCUAUGAUGAGCAACGGCAGCCUUUAACAGUUGAGCACAUGUAUGAAGACAUCAGUCAGGAUCAUGUGAAGAAAACAGUGACCAUUGAAAAUCACCCUCAUCUGCCACCACCUCCCAUGUGUUCAGUUCACCCAUGCAGGUCUGUAUAUGUAGAGAUAAAUAUAUUUUUUGAUGUGAUUGUAUAUUUCAUGGAUUUAUUACUUGAGAAUCUUUAAACAUAGAACCCUAACAGAAAAAAAUUUUCUUACUAAAAAGUAAAAUUCUCUCUUGUCCUCCUUAGAAAUUUUCUUGUGCUUAAAUAUAUAAGAAAAAGGAAAAAAAAAACUUACCAAUUUGUUUUAAGUUUAAUAUGUUAAGAAUUUUUUUGUUCUCUGUGGGUGUUUAUAGAAUAGAUGGAUCUUUGUGA